RNAcentral lists this transfer RNA (93 nucleotides) under Lentzea sp. NBRC 102530. Its description in RNAcentral is "tRNA-Thr". Lineage: Bacteria; Bacillati; Actinomycetota; Actinomycetes; Pseudonocardiales; Pseudonocardiaceae. The record is from RNAcentral.
UCUCGGCGUUGGCCGGGGCUGCGGCCUGGUCCGCGGUGUGGACGAACAUCUUGGUGGGGAUGCAGCCCACGUUCAGGCACGUGCCGCCGAAGG